RNAcentral lists this ribosomal RNA (497 nucleotides) under uncultured bacterium. RNAcentral's name for it is "partial 16S ribosomal RNA". It matches the Rfam family "Bacterial small subunit ribosomal RNA", at positions 28 to 507 of the family's 1533-position model. The record is from RNAcentral.
GAUGAACGCUGGCGGCGUGCCUAAUACAUGCAAGUCGAGCGAACAGACGAGGAGCUUGCUCCUCUGACGUUAGCGGCGGACGGGUGAGUAACACGUGGAUAACCUACCUAUAAGACUGGGAUAACUUCGGGAAACCGGAGCUAAUACCGGAUAAUAUAUUGAACCGCAUGGUUCCAUAGUGAAAGACGGUUUUGCUGUCACUUAUAGAUGGAUCCGCGCCGCAUUAGCUAGUUGGUAAGGUAACGGCUUACCAAGGCAACGAUGCGUAGCCGACCUGAGAGGGUGAUCAGCCACACUGGAACUGAGACACGGUCCAGACUCCUACGGGAGGCAGCAGUAGGGAAUCUUCCGCAAUGGGCGAAAGCCUGACGGAGCAACGCCGCGUGAGUGAUGAAGGUCUUCGGAUCGUAAAACUCUGUUAUUAGGGAAGAACAAAUGUGUAAGUAACUAUGCACGGCUUGACGGUACCUGAUCAGAAAGCCACGGCUAACUACGUG